This 439-nucleotide ribosomal RNA is filed under the name uncultured bacterium. RNAcentral's name for it is "partial 16S ribosomal RNA". It matches the Rfam family "Bacterial small subunit ribosomal RNA", at positions 339 to 795 of the family's 1533-position model. The record is from RNAcentral.
CUACGGGCGGCAGCAGUGAGGAAUAUUGCACAAUGGGGGGAACCCUGAUGCAGCAGCGCCGCGUGGAGGAUGACGCAUUUCGGUGUGUAAACUCCUUUUAUAUGUCAAGAAAAUGACGGUAGCAUAUGAAUAAGCACCGGCUAACUCCGUGCCAGCAGCCGCGGUAAUACGGAGGGUGCAAGCGUUACUCGGAAUCACUGGGCGUAAAGGACGCGUAGGCGGGUUGGAAAGUCAGGUGUGAAAUCCUACAGCUUAACUGUAGAACUGCACUUGAAACUUCUAAUCUAGAGUAUGGGAGGGGGAGAUGGAAUUAGUGGUGUAGGGGUAAAAUCCGUAGAUAUCACUAGGAAUACCUAAAGCGAAGGCGAUCUCCUGGAACAUUGCUGACGCUAAGGCGUGAAAGCGUGGGGAGCAAACAGGAUUAGAUACCCGGGUAGUC